CGAGGUAAACAUCGGCUUACUG
This 22-nucleotide microRNA is filed under the name Macacine gammaherpesvirus 4 (Rhesus lymphocryptovirus). RNAcentral describes it as "rlcv-miR-rL1-7-5p". Its record names the gene rlcv-miR-rL1-7-5p. The record is from miRBase by way of RNAcentral. Lineage: Duplodnaviria; Heunggongvirae; Peploviricota; Herviviricetes; Herpesvirales; Orthoherpesviridae.